Molecule: ribosomal RNA, 273 nt
Filed under: uncultured Acidothermus sp.
Lineage: Bacteria; Bacillati; Actinomycetota; Actinomycetes; Acidothermales; Acidothermaceae
Description: partial 16S ribosomal RNA
Rfam family: Bacterial small subunit ribosomal RNA
Source: RNAcentral
UACGUAGGGUGCGAGCGUUGUCCGGAAUUAUUGGGCGUAAAGAGCUCGUAGGCGGCUAGUCGCGUCUGCUGUGAAAUCCCGGGGCUUAACCCCGGGCGUGCAGUGGAUACGGGCAGGCUGGAGGCAGGCAGGGGGGAACGGAAUUCCCGGUGUAGCGGUGAAAUGCGCAGAUAUCGGGAGGAACACCGGUGGCGAAGGCGGGUCUCUGGGCCUGUACUGACGCUGAGGAGCGAAAGCGUGGGGAGCGAACAGGAUUAGAAACCCCAGUAGUCC